RNAcentral lists this transfer RNA (64 nucleotides) under Villorita cyprinoides. RNAcentral's name for it is "tRNA-Leu". The record is from RNAcentral. Lineage: Eukaryota; Metazoa; Mollusca; Bivalvia; Venerida; Cyrenidae.
AUCAGGUUAGUAGAAAUAUACGUCUAAUUUAGGUUUAGAAAAUAAAUUUAGUGUUUACUUGAUA